Salmo salar (Atlantic salmon) is the source of this 3707-nucleotide long non-coding RNA. RefSeq lists it as uncharacterized. The record is from RefSeq and is a predicted model, not a curated record. Lineage: Eukaryota; Metazoa; Chordata; Actinopteri; Salmoniformes; Salmonidae.
ACGAGAUAGCCUACUACAUCUCUUUGGUGGGAGUGAGUGAGGGGGACGACAAAAGCUCUGGGUGGAUGAGCAGGCAGAAAUAUUAACAGCUUGAAAGAAAGAGAAUGAAAAUGGGUAUGUUUAGAUAAAAUGCUUGUUAUUGUUUUUCUCGCAAAAUACUGAAAAAUAUUACGCUAUUCAUAAAUGUAUUGCCUUUGGUGCGCGCGCUGACGGAAUUUCCCGCGCUCUUCUGAUACAACAGGAGCCACCAGUGCUCCAGUAUCUUCCCACAUCUGUAAGUGAUUGUCUGAGGAAGGCAGGAGGAGCAGUGACGAGAUGGAUGAGGGGUCCAGGAUGGCUGAGGGGAAGGCUGCCUUUGUCUUUGUCCUCCUCCUCUUCAUCGCCCUGGCCUUGCUCAUCGUGCGCUGCUUCCGCAUCCUGCUGGACCCAUACCGCAGCAUGCCCUCCUCCAACUGGACAGACCACACAGAGAAGGACACGUUUGACUACCGCAUUGUCUAAGGAGGACCUAAGCAGCUCCCUCGACACUGUAUUGCAGUUGAAGCACUGACAACUAUUGCAAUGCUCGAGGAGCAACUUUGUUUAUCCAUUUUGCCCAAGGACCACAUGCUAUAUGACUGCCGGUGCCAAACCACCAGGGACCCCUUUGUAUUAGAUGCAGCCUUCGAGCAUGCAUCACCUAAGGCCUUUGUCUGCUCUAUUGUAACAUGUUAUAUCAAUUCCUUCACCAAUUACUGCAGUCAUGAGCAGUAAUAGCCAGCCCUUAUCACCCUAAUGACAACACAUACGAGUGAUUCCAUACGAAACCAGGGGGGAAAAAGGCCAUCAUUUUGCUGAUUAAAAAAAAGAAAAGAUUUCAUCCAUAGAAUGGUCCUUUGAAAGAAUGAUUGUUGACAUAUAUUUGACAUUUGUAUCUAAAAGCAUAAUUGAAAAAUAAUUGAUCAAAGUUGUCAUAUUUAUGACAUUUUGGCCAUACUCAGGCCUCCUUAAAUACGCCAUCAUGUUUAAUCUGUAUGGGCUGCAAAGAUGAAAAUUUGUGUAAUAUUGGGGUAAUAAUUGGUGUAACCGCUUGCUCUGUAAUAUGAGUAGCAUUUAUAUUUAAAAAUGUUUUAUGAAUGUUGAAAGAACAACAUUUUUGAUUUGGCACAUUUGUUUUGAUAUUGUUGAACAUAAUACUCUACGGCCCUCCCACAUAAGGAACUCCCUUAAUUGAAAGGAAAAACCAAAAACCUGCAGACACUCGGCCCUCCGUGGAAUGAGUUUGACACCCCUGCUCUACGGGCAUAUCAAAGUUCCAGAGUGGGAUCUAUGCUACUUUUAUAGUUAUGAUCCAGUUUAUUAACAUUACCAAAAUGGAAUCAAAAUGGUCGACCUCUGCUGGUGAUUUGCAUGAUGUGCAAUGAUGCAAGUAAAAGGAGGGCUGUGAUUGGUUACAUUGCCUGCUGUGCCAAUUUCUCUAUAUAAAAUGGGCUAUAAAAUGAAAACUAGCAGAGAUCUCACUCUGGAACUUUGAUAUGCCCCUAGAGUAUAUUAUGUUCAACAAUAUAUUGAAACAUUUGCCAAAUACAUAUUUUUUUCUAUAUUCAUGUUUUAUAUUUUCAAUAUUCAUGUUUAUAUUUUUCAAUAUUCAUAAAUGAAUGUACAAAAAUGUUAUUGAAAUGUUAAUACUACUCAUAUUACAGAGCAAGCAUUAAAGUUUCAUAUGACACCAAUUUUUGCUUUUUAGCAUCUACAGAUGAAACAUUAUGGAGUCUUAAAGGAGGCCUGGGUAUGGCAAAAAUGCCAUAAUAUGGCAACUUUGAUUCAGUAUUUCUCAAUUAUGCUUUUAGAUACAACUGUCAAAUAUAUGUCAACAAUCCUUCCUCCAAAGGACCAUUCUAUGGAUUAAAUGUUGCAAAAAUCCCCAAAUCAUCAUAUUUUGUUUGUUCUGGUUUCGUAUGGAAUCACUUAUAAGGAACAUCUUCUACCAAGUAGUCUAACACUAUAGGCAUCACCUAAGGUACCUGCUGUAACACCUAUCAAAUCUAUCUCCUGAAGACACUCUCCAGGCAACCUUGUUGCCACUACUAUUGCAUCAUAUCACUACCCCGUCCCCUUAACCUUCCUUGGUAGUCUUAAACAAACCUAGUUAGAAAAAGAAGUGAACACCUCACACACAUGGUUAUGGGUUUAAAAAAAUAAGACACCUUUACCAUGUCAGAUAUAGAGUUGAAAUAUAUUCAAUUUUGAGUUUGCAUCUCAAUAUUACAUUUUAUAGACAUCACAGAGUACUGAAAUAUAACACAACCGUUUGACAUAGCAACACUGGAUGUUUAUUAAUUAUGAGAAAUAUGAAUAACAUUCCACCCAUGAGACCACUUUUGGUCAUUUGACUGCUGGAAAGGGCUACAGGUGCUCUAUGCAACAAUUCCUCCUGCAAAUAGGCCUACAUUUCAAUUGUGUACUUGUAGUAGUAAAGGAAUAAAACUCCAUGUAAGAACAAGAAAAACAUUUGAAUGCCGUUUGAAGCUAUAAAGUUGCUUGUUUGCUGCAAGUUCCUCAGUGUAUACAGUGGAUUUUUUUUACUUCAAUUGUCCACUUUGGCUAAGGUACAAAAUGCACAAACAAUCAAUCAAGCAUUGCUCCAAAAAAAAUACACUUACACAGAAAAGACAAAUGUGGUUACAUUUAUGCCAACCAGCGCCUUGUGCACUCACAAAGACCCUCACCCUCAUUGAGCUGGUUAAUACUUUUUGAAAUUGGAAGACAGAUAUUUCCUUUAACAUCAGCCAGCCUAUAACAUACCAUUGAUAUUCAGAUCCAUAUCUUUGUCACCCAAGUUAUUUGUUUUCUUGCCAUCACGGAAAGAGAGGUAGACAAUGUUUCAAAGUAUCCUUUAAAGAGACUUCAUUGUUUUUUGGGUGGCUUCAGUGGGCCUUAGAUGUUUGAUGUCAGCAAUGGGAUAAGUGUUAACUAUUCAAUGUCUGCAAUCAAAAAAAUGACAAAUAGACAACUUUGUCACUUUUUAUGGAAAGGAUCCAGAGUCAUAAAUCUGAAUGACCAAAUGAGGUUUAUUGAAAUGUUUACUGUGCCGUAACUUGUGCCUAAUUAUGAACAUCUAGAUGAGCAUUUUAGGGAAAUGAGUCGAAAAGAUUCAUACCAGUAGUUCUGUUGUAGAUAGCAUCUUGCUAUAGUUCUAUGUAAUAUCAUUUUCAUAUCUGAAAUAAAAUAAGCAUAUCACUGCCCACAGAUGGCAUGUUAGCAGUGUGCUACAUCUGAACAGAUUAUCACACCUUGGACUAUCCCUUUAUGGACAAUGUCUGUGUCUCUUAAUUUGGGCAACUCCUUAACUGUACGCCUUAUAGAGUAGCAUGUUUACAGAUAGUCAAUAGCUGACAGAAAAAUAUGUUAUGCACUUCAAGCAGAUGUCAUACACCUACCAAAUGAGUGUGCUUUCACACUUUGACAUGUGAUGUUCUUGUGAUAUACUGUGGUCUUUUCCUAUCACAAUGUAUCAGUUUAGUGGUACCUUUCUGUGCACAAGUGUCUGCAUGUUUUUGCAAAAUUUCCCCUCCAAGCAUGUUGAGUGCUUUACACAUGUUGAUGCUGCUGUUAUUUAGUUGGUACAGUACAGUAUUCACUGUCAACGUUUGAGCCUUCUUUUGAAUGUGUAUUACGCUUGCCUUGAGCCUCUUUCCUUUCAUAAUAAAAGUAAUUACGAUGCAUUA